Erythranthe guttata (spotted monkey flower) is the source of this 525-nucleotide non-coding RNA. The record is from RefSeq and is a predicted model, not a curated record. Lineage: Eukaryota; Viridiplantae; Streptophyta; Magnoliopsida; Lamiales; Phrymaceae.
UUGUAUUUUAACAUCUUCCAGUUAUGGUUUUUUUUGUAUUCCUAACAUGGGCUUCUUGUGCAGCUUAUAAUAUGUCGUAAGCUGGAAAGUUCAUUUUUUUUUUUUUUAUAUUCGCUGUAUCAUUUGAUCUCAUAUGGAACACCUCUGAUAUUUAUUAAUUUUUCGUUGGUCCCGAUUUUGAACAGAUAGAGGGUGACGAGGGUGCAUAUUGACUUAGCCGAAGCAUUGGACUGAUGUCUCUUUCUUUGUUGAUUAACUUAGCCGAAGCAUUAAAUUGUGGAAGAAUUUAUCAAUUUGAAAUGUUUCCUCAAAGGGUAUAUGCAAGAUCACCACAUCAAGUUUGAUUUAUGGUGCUUAAAUGAGAUGAUCAAGUAUAUUCAAUGUCGUGGAACCAUGGCCAGAAGAUUGAAUUGUUCAUCUGAUGCACAUAGAAAACUUUUUAUGUAAUUAAUAGCUUAAAAGUUGUUUCGGUUACUUUGUUGUUCCUAUUUGGUUAUGAGAACCAUUUAUGUUAUCUCAGAACAU